Ictidomys tridecemlineatus (thirteen-lined ground squirrel) is the source of this 72-nucleotide non-coding RNA. Lineage: Eukaryota; Metazoa; Chordata; Mammalia; Rodentia; Sciuridae. The record is from Rfam.
AGGGUUGUGGCUCAGUGGUAGAGUGCUCACCUCGCACGGGUGAGACCCUGGGUUCGAUCCUCAGCACCACAU